This is a long non-coding RNA of Passer domesticus (house sparrow), 432 nucleotides long. RefSeq lists it as uncharacterized. NCBI's taxonomy places the organism in Eukaryota, Metazoa, Chordata, Aves, Passeriformes, Passeridae. The transcript has 3 exons. The record is from RefSeq and is a predicted model, not a curated record.
AACAAAGGCUAUGGAAGUGCUGAGCCAUCCUCCUGGAAGAACAGGUUUCAUCAUUGCUCUGAGCUCUGGUUUAAAGCCAAAAUGGACUUGGCAGUGCAGGGCUGUGGUCAAAAUGUGUGACCAGUACCAAUUCCAAAAUGCAAGAACCAGCUACUCAACUUCAGAACAUUGCCACAAAACAGAAACAGGAUGGAUACUUCAUCAAAUGGUUUGUUGUCCCCGGGCCCCCUGUAGCAAGAGGAUGGGUGCGUGGUGCUGCAGUGCAGUUACAAAAGCUGUACUAUUUUAAUGCGGAAGGAUGUGGUUUGGGGUUGGUUAAUACACAUUGCUUGACAUAUUUACAAGUGUCAGAUUGUGUUCUCUGUUUAUAAGACUUGUGCCAAAAGGAAGGGGAGUAACAUGGGCCAAAGUACUUCCCUGAUUGCGGGUGCC